AACGAACGCUGGCGGCAUGCCUAACACAUGCAAGUCGAACGAGACCUUCGGGUCUAGUGGCGCACGGGUGCGUAACGCGUGGGAACCUGCCCUUAGGUUCGGAAUAACUCCCCGAAAGGGGUGCUAAUACCGGAUAAUGUCUUCGGACCAAAGAUUUAUCGCCUUUGGAUGGGCCCGCGUUGGAUUAGGUUGUUGGUAGGGUAAAAGCCUACUAAGGCGACGAUCCAUAGCUGGUCUGAGAGGAUGAUCAGCCACACUGGGACUGGGACACGGCCCAGACUCCUACGGGAGGCAGCAGUGGGGAAUAUUGGACAGUGGGCGAAAGCCUGAUCCAGCAAUGCCGCGUGAGUGAUGUAGGCCUUAGGGUUGUAAAGCUCUUUUACCCGGGAUGAUAAUGACAGUACCGGGAGAAUAAGCUCCGGCUAACUCCGUG
RNAcentral lists this ribosomal RNA (433 nucleotides) under uncultured bacterium. Its description in RNAcentral is "partial 16S ribosomal RNA". It matches the Rfam family "Bacterial small subunit ribosomal RNA", at positions 29 to 507 of the family's 1533-position model. The record is from RNAcentral.